Anas platyrhynchos (mallard) is the source of this 1433-nucleotide non-coding RNA. The record is from RefSeq and is a predicted model, not a curated record. NCBI's taxonomy places the organism in Eukaryota, Metazoa, Chordata, Aves, Anseriformes, Anatidae.
GGCAGAGCCGGGAGAUGGCGGCGGCUCCAGCCGGGGCCCCUCCGCCGCUGCCCCUCGGCACCCUGGGCCUGCUCCGGGUGGGAAAGGGGGGGGUUGGAUGGCACGGGGAGAAGCGGAGCUCUGCAGAAAGCAGGCUGGGCGUCGGCUGUGGCUGCCCCUCGGGAGGUGUGUACUGCCUGUGCCUACAGCGUUCCUCGCCUCAGCACCAGGAGUUUGUUAGCACGGUGUUGGCUUCUUGUGGCAGCGAAAGCAACGGGAAAGCCAAACUGCUCUCAAGGCACAGAAGCAAGAAAUGGCUCGUUUAAAAUAACCCCAAAUAAGUACAUGUCUUAGAAACUUAACCCGCAUUCCAACCUAAAAGCCUCAGGAGUUUACUGCUUACGUGUGCCGUGCUUCCACAGUCGGAUAGCUGAAUGGCAGCACCAUGGUAAAGACACCCCAGCAAACCCCUGUGCCGUGCGAUGUCUGGUUUCAACAAGGCCGAGGAUGUCCAGACCAGCAGAAGUGAUGGGUGGCUGCUCCUCCAGUGUGUGCUGGGAUUCCUGGCCUUCCUCUUUCUGUCAGCAGGAGGAACGGAGGGGCAUGGCACCCUGGAAAGGGGCUUUGCUUGUUAGAGGAUGGCCAUCAGCCCGGCUUUGCCCCACAUGAGGAGGCAGAAGAGCUCAGAGGUGGUUCGCUAAGUAAACAUUGCCACAGACAGCACCAUGGUCUGCUGGGUAAAGUAGAGAAUGCUGCUUGCAGAGGAAGAACCAUUCAGUGAUCAGCUGUUCUGGGUGGAAAAGCUGCCGGUAGGUGCCAGUCCGCACUUCAUCUGAACGACAAAGAAAAUGUACAAGCUUAGAAGAGAACCCUCAUAAAUUAUUAGAAAAGAUUUGCAAGAGUAAAACAUCUUUUAGGAUACUUCUGCUUUCUGAUUCUCCGCGCUCCUGUCUUUCAUUUAAAUACGAAGAAAGCAUUUUCCACAGUUAGCAAAAGAAAAAUAAAAUCACACACACACACAAAAAGAUUAGAAGGGAACCUCCCUAAGUAGGUUAAAUUGUACUCAUAACCAGUGUGGAUUUAGACAAUAGUAAACUUCUGAGUUUAUUAUUAGUUAAGGCAUCCAUGACAGAAUCAGUUUUCAUCUAGUUGAAGGUGUCCCUGCCCAUGGCAGGGGGUUGGAAUUAGAUGAUCUUUAAGGUCCCUUCCAACCCAAACCAUUUUAUGAUUUUAUGAUCAUUUCAAUUGAGAAUAACAUAUUUUAGUAAUAUUUCCUAUUUAAAACUUUGAAUAUUCUACCUGGAGGUCAAGAUCAUCCCUAAAGAUAAGGGAGAGUCCUGCUAUUUGGUGAUCUGAGCUUUGCCACACAGAAGAGUUAAUUCAUUUCACUUUUCCAAGACUGGUUCUAUACUGACCUACUACCGUUGGUUCUAAGUCCACCAUAAUAGCCCGGG